GCUACAGGCUUAACACAUGCAAGUCGAGGGGUAGCACGGAGGAAGCUUGCUUCCUUGGGUGACGACCGGCGCACGGGUGAGUAACGCGUAUCCGACCUACCCAUAACACGGGCACAGCCGCUCGAAAGAGUGAUUGAUUCCCGAUAUGUCUUUUGAGUAGAUUUAAUGAUGAAAGAUUUAUCGGUUAUGGAUGGGGAUGCGUAAGAUUAGGUAGUAGGCGGGGUAACGGCCCACCUAGCCGACGAUCUUUAGGGGUUCUGAGAGGAAGGUCCCCCACACUGGUACUGAGACACGGACCAGACUCCUACGGGAGGCAGCAGUGAGGAAUAUUGGUCAAUGGGCGGAAGCCUGAACCAGCCAAGUAGCGUGAAGGAUUACAGCCCUACGGGUUUUAAACUUCUUUUAUAUAAGAGUAAUGUGCACUACGUGUAGUGUAUUGCAAGUAUUAUAUGAAUAAGCAUCGGCUAACUCCGUGCCAGCAGCCGCGGUAAUACGGAGGAUGCGAGCGUUAUCCGGAUUUAUUGGGUUUAAAGGGAGCGUAGGCGGGAUAUUAAGUCAGUCGUCAAAGCCUGUGGCUCAACCACAGCCCGCGAUUGAUACUGGUAACCUUGAGUGCGGAUGAGGUGGAUGGAAUUCGUGGUGUAGCGGUGAAAUGCUUAGAUAUCACG
RNAcentral lists this ribosomal RNA (668 nucleotides) under uncultured Bacteroidota bacterium. RNAcentral describes it as "bacterial SSU rRNA". It matches the Rfam family "Bacterial small subunit ribosomal RNA", at positions 39 to 701 of the family's 1533-position model. Lineage: Bacteria; Pseudomonadati; Bacteroidota. The record is from RNAcentral.